AUUGAACGCUGGCGGCAGGCCUAACACACGCAAGUCGAACGGCAGCGGGGGAUAGCUUGCUAUCCUGCCGGCGAGUGGCGGACGGGUGAGUAAUGCAUGGGGAGCUGCCCAGUCGAGGGGGAUAACAACUGGAAACGGUUGCUAAUACCGCAUACGCCCUUUGGGGGAAAGGUGGGGAACUUCGGUCCUACCGCGAUUGGAUGCGCCCAUGUGGGAUUAGCUAGUUGGUGAGGUAACGGCUCACCAAGGCGACGAUCUCUAGCUGGUCUGAGAGGAUGACCAGCCACACUGGAACUGAGACACGGUCCAGACUCCUACGGGAGGCAGCAGUGGGGAAUAUUGCACAAUGGGGGAAACCCUGAUGCAGCCAUGCCGCGUGUGUGAAGAAGGCCUUCGGGUUGUAAAGCACUUUCAGUCAGGAGGAAGGGGUGAUGGCUAAUAUCCAUCAUCAUUGACGUUACUGACAGAAGAAGCACCGGCUAACUCCGUGCCAGCAGCCGCCGUAA
This 506-nucleotide ribosomal RNA is filed under the name uncultured bacterium. RNAcentral describes it as "partial 16S ribosomal RNA". It matches the Rfam family "Bacterial small subunit ribosomal RNA", at positions 30 to 523 of the family's 1533-position model. The record is from RNAcentral.